RNAcentral lists this long non-coding RNA (596 nucleotides) under Zalophus californianus (California sea lion). Its description in RNAcentral is "lncRNA (ENSZCAG00015018771.1)". Lineage: Eukaryota; Metazoa; Chordata; Mammalia; Carnivora; Otariidae. The record is from RNAcentral.
AUUCAAGUGACCACCUUUGCAUGAACCUUCUAACUUCUUGAGCUGCCUGGUGAUUGGAGAUGAACGUUGACUGAAGCAUGGCAUCCACUUGCCCUCCGCUACUAUUGCAGAGAGAAAGGGGGUGGGUGUCCAGCCACAAGCCAGUCAGUCUGCACAAUGAUGCCAUGUUCUGAAGGAAGCCAAGUGUGCUCGGCUUUACAAGAAAUAGAUAACAUCAAGGACAUCGGGAGUGGGAGAGAUUGGACUGGGAGACUCAGCAGUUACGGAGAAAAUUGUGGGCAGUAUAAGAGUGACUUCCUUGCUGUGUGAAAUUACCUUGUCCUGAAUUUCUUCUGGUCUCUUCUCAGUGUGGAAAAACAUGUCUAAGGAAAGCUACUUUGUGAUGGUAGCUUGGAACUGCUCUCAUGAACAAGCCUUUUCUUCAUUCUGUCUUGCAGGGGAACAUAUGUCUUUCUAGUUGCCUAUGUCACUAUGGGAGAAAAUUGCUUCAAGUAAAAUAAAAAUAAGUAUGAACUGGUUCCCUAAAUGGCCCAUUUGCAAAUUAAGUUUGUAGAAAUUUAUCUUUUCUGUUUUUCUUGCUAGAGUCUACAAUCUGG